GUGUGACUGCGUACCUUUUGUAUAAUGGGUCAGCGACUUAUAUUCUGUAGCAAGGUUAACCGAAUAGGGGAGCCGAAGGGAAACCGAGUCUUAACUGGGCGUUAAGUUGCAGGGUAUAGACCCGAAACCCGGUGAUCUAGCCAUGGGCAGGUUGAAGGUUGGGUAACACUAACUGGAGGACCGAACCGACUAAUGUUGAAAAAUUAGCGGAUGACUUGUGGCUGGGGGUGAAAGGCCAAUCAAACCGGGAGAUAGCUGGUUCUCCCCGAAAGCUAUUUAGGUAGCGCCUCGUGAAUUCAUCUCCGGGGGUAGAGCACUGUUUCGGCAAGGGGGUCAUCCCGACUUACCAACCCGAUGCAAACUGCGAAUACCGGAGAAUGUUAUCACGGGAGACACACGGCGGGUGCUAACGUCCGUCGUGAAGAGGGAAACAACCCAGACCGCCAGCUAAGGUCCCAAAGUCAUGGUUAAGUGGGAAACGAUGUGGGAAGGCCCAGACAGCCAGGAUGUUGGCUUAGAAGCAGCCAUCAUUUAAAGAAAGCGUAAUAGCUCACUGGUCGAGUCGGCCUGCGCGGAAGAUGUAACGGGGCUAAACCAUGCACCGAAGCUGCGGCAGCGACACUAUGUGUUGUUGGGUAGGGGAGCGUUCUGUAAGCCUGUGAAGGUGUGCUGUGAGGCAUGCUGGAGGUAUCAGAAGUGCGAAUGCUGACAUAAGUAACGAUAAAGCGGGUGAAAAGCCCGCUCGCCGGAAGACCAAGGGUUCCUGUCCAACGUUAAUCGGGGCAGGGUGAGUCGACCCCUAAGGCGAGGCCGAAAGGCGUAGUCGAUGGGAAACAGGUUAAUAUUCCUGUACUUGGUGUUACUGCGAAGGGGGGACGGAGAAGGCUAUGUUGGCCGGGCGACGGUUGUCCCGGUUUAAGCGUGUAGGCUGGUUUUCCAGGCAAAUCCGGAAAAUCAAGGCUGAGGCGUGAUGACGAGGCACUACGGUGCUGAAGCAACAAAUGCCCUGCUUCCAGGAAAAGCCUCUAAGCAUCAGGUAACAUCAAAUCGUACCCCAAACCGACACAGGUGGUCAGGUAGAGAAUACCAAGGCGCUUGAGAGAACUCGGGUGAAGGAACUAGGCAAAAUGGUGCCGUAACUUCGGGAGAAGGCACGCUGAUAUGUAGGUGAAGUCCCUCGCGGAUGGAGCUGAAAUCAGUCGAAGAUACCAGCUGGCUGCAACUGUUUAUUAAAAACACAGCACUGUGCAAACACGAAAGUGGACGUAUACGGUGUGACGCCUGCCCGGUGCCGGAAGGUUAAUUGAUGGGGU
This 1313-nucleotide ribosomal RNA is filed under the name Escherichia coli. RNAcentral's name for it is "partial 23S ribosomal RNA". It matches the Rfam family "Bacterial large subunit ribosomal RNA", at positions 591 to 1890 of the family's 2925-position model. Lineage: Bacteria; Pseudomonadati; Pseudomonadota; Gammaproteobacteria; Enterobacterales; Enterobacteriaceae. The record is from RNAcentral.